RNAcentral lists this ribosomal RNA (86 nucleotides) under Aspergillus flavus. Its description in RNAcentral is "partial 5.8S ribosomal RNA". It matches the Rfam family "5.8S ribosomal RNA", at positions 71 to 154 of the family's 154-position model. From Rfam's summary of the family: 5.8S ribosomal RNA (5.8S rRNA) is a component of the large subunit of the eukaryotic ribosome. It is transcribed by RNA polymerase I as part of the 45S precursor that also contains 18S and 28S rRNA. Functionally, it is thought that 5.8S rRNA may be involved in ribosome translocation. Lineage: Eukaryota; Fungi; Ascomycota; Eurotiomycetes; Eurotiales; Aspergillaceae. The record is from RNAcentral.
AUUGCAGAAUUCCGUGUUUCAUCGAGUCUUUGAACGCACAUUGCGCCCCCUGGUAUUCCGGGGGGCAUGCCUGUCCGAGCGUCAUU